This 72-nucleotide transfer RNA is filed under the name Sandaracinaceae bacterium. RNAcentral describes it as "tRNA-Thr". It matches the Rfam family "tRNA". Rfam says of the family: Transfer RNA (tRNA) molecules are approximately 80 nucleotides in length. Their secondary structure includes four short double-helical elements and three loops (D, anti-codon, and T loops). Lineage: Bacteria; Pseudomonadati; Myxococcota; Polyangiales; Sandaracinaceae. The record is from RNAcentral.
GCCUCUCGAGCGUGAUCGGUAACGCACCCGUUUCGUAAUCGGGAGAAGCCAGUUCGAAUCUGGCGAGAGGCA